GCACCCGUAGCUCAAUUGGAUAGAGCAUCUGACUACGAAUCAGAAGGUUUUGAGUUCAAAUCUCGACGGGUGUA
Molecule: transfer RNA, 74 nt
Filed under: Calditrichota bacterium
Lineage: Bacteria; Pseudomonadati; Calditrichota
Description: Calditrichaeota bacterium tRNA-Arg
Rfam family: tRNA
About the family: Transfer RNA (tRNA) molecules are approximately 80 nucleotides in length.
Source: RNAcentral